ACCUACGGGACGCAGCAGUGAGGAAUAUUGGUCAAUGGUCGGGAGACUGAACCAGCCAAGCCGCGUGAGGGAUGAAGGUACAGAGUAUCGUAAACCUCUUUUGUCAGGGGACAAAGGCGGGGACGUGUCCCCGGAUGAGUGUACCUGAAGAAAAAGCAUCGGCUAACUCCGUGCCAGCAGCCGCGGUAAUACAGAGGAUGCGAGCGUUAUCCGGAUUUAUUGGGUUUAAAGGGUGCGCAGGCGGUCUGUUAAGUCAGCGGUCAGAGCCCGGGGCUCAACCCCGGCCCGCCGUUGAAACUGGCGGG
This 305-nucleotide ribosomal RNA is filed under the name uncultured bacterium. Its description in RNAcentral is "bacterial SSU rRNA". It matches the Rfam family "Bacterial small subunit ribosomal RNA", at positions 337 to 640 of the family's 1533-position model. The record is from RNAcentral.